AUGACUGGAGGAGCUUCACCUUCGUCUGGACCAGAAACAGCCGCCCUUCGCCGCAUCUUCCACCCCUAUCUCCAACGCCACCGUCUGAAACUCGAUGUUCCCCGUUUUGACGGCACCGACGCACACAGAUGGAUCUUUAAGAUCAAUAAAUUUUUCACCUACCACGAAACUCCCGAGGAAGAGCGCAUCACCAUCGCGUCCUUCUACCUUGAUGGACCAGCGUUGUCAUGGUACCAAUGGAUGUACCGUAACCACCAAAUCGUUUCAUGA
Vicia faba (fava bean) is the source of this 270-nucleotide non-coding RNA. Lineage: Eukaryota; Viridiplantae; Streptophyta; Magnoliopsida; Fabales; Fabaceae. The record is from the annotation of a GenBank genome assembly.